UAUAAGCAUUUAUACAGUGAAACUGCGAAUGGCUCAUUAAAUCAGUUAUCGUUUAUUUGAUAGUUCCUUUACUACAUGGUAUAACUGUGGUAAUUCUAGAGCUAAUACAUGCUUAAAAUCUCGACCCUUUGGAAGAGAUGUAUUUAUUAGAUAAAAAAUCAAUGUCUUCGGACUCUUUGAUGAUUCAUAAUAACUUUUCGAAUCGCAUGGCCUUGUGCUGGCGAUGGUUCAUUCAAAUUUCUGCCCUAUCAACUUUCGAUGGUAGGAUAGUGGCCUACCAUGGUUUCAACGGGUAACGGGGAAUAAGGGUUCGAUUCCGGAGAGGGAGCCUGAGAAACGGCUACCACAUCCAAGGAAGGCAGCAGGCGCGCAAAUUACCCAAUCCUAAUUCAGGGAGGUAGUGACAAUAAAUAACGAUACAGGGCCCAUUCGGGUCUUGUAAUUGGAAUGAGUACAAUGUAAAUACCUUAACGAGGAACAAUUGGAGGGCAAGUCUGGUGCCAGCAGCCGCGGUAAUUCCAGCUCCAAUAGCGUAUAUUAAAGUUGUUGCAGUUAAAAAGCUCGUAGUUGAACUUUGGGCCCGGUUGGCCGGUCCGAUUUUUUCGUGUACUGGAUUUCCAACGGGGCCUUUCCUUCUGGCUAACCUUGAGUCCUUGUGGCUCUUGGCGAACCAGGACUUUUACUUUGAAAAAAUUAGAGUGUUCAAAGCAGGCGUAUUGCUCGAAUAUAUUAGCAUGGAAUAAUAGAAUAGGACGUUUGGUUCUAUUUUGUUGGUUUCUAGGACCAUCGUAAUGAUUAAUAGGGACGGUCGGGGGCAUCAGUAUUCAAUUGUCAGAGGUGAAAUUCUUGGAUUUAUUGAAGACUAACUACUGCGAAAGCAUUUGCCAAGGACGUUUUCAUUAAUCAAGAACGAAAGUUAGGGGAUCGAAGAUGAUCAGAUACCGUCGUAGUCUUAACCAUAAACUAUGCCGACUAGGGAUCGGGUGGUGUUUUUUUAAUGACCCACUCGGCACCUUACGAGAAAUCAAAGUCUUUGGGUCUGGGGAG
Molecule: ribosomal RNA, 1047 nt
Filed under: Saccharomyces cerevisiae (brewer's yeast)
Lineage: Eukaryota; Fungi; Ascomycota; Saccharomycetes; Saccharomycetales; Saccharomycetaceae
Description: SSU rRNA
Rfam family: Eukaryotic small subunit ribosomal RNA
Source: RNAcentral